CCUGUUUAUCAAAAACAUCUAGAAGCUUAACCAUUAGAAGUACCGCCUGCCCUAUGACCAUGGUUAAAUGGCCGCGAAUUCGUGCUAAGGUAGCGUAAUAGAUUGUCCCCUCAUUAGGGACCUGUAUGAAAGGCAUAACGAAGCUCAACUGUCUCUUCUUAUAUAUGCAAAAUUAACCGCCAAGUGAAAAUGCUUAGAUUGAGCUGAUGGACGAGAAGACCCUGUAGAGCUUAAGUAAAAUCCUACAAAUAGUAAAAAGAGGUGGUAAAGAUGUAGGAUAAUACUUUGAUUGGGGAAAUGUAGGAACAAAAAAAUUCCUAAGAAGCAAGUUUUAGAUAUAAAAAAACGAAAGCCUCAAAGGGAAUGGAAAAGCUACCUCAGGGAUAACAGCGUAAUCCUUCUUAAGAGAUCUAAUCGAAAGAAGGGGUUGCGACCUCGAUGUUGGACUAAGGAAUCCUGAAGGUGUAGAAGUCUUCAAUGGUGGGCCUGUUCGGCUUAAAUAACCUUACAUGAUCUGAGUUCAGACCGGAAU
RNAcentral lists this ribosomal RNA (532 nucleotides) under Savigyniella lafonti. RNAcentral describes it as "partial 16S ribosomal RNA". It matches the Rfam family "Bacterial large subunit ribosomal RNA", at positions 1799 to 2622 of the family's 2925-position model. Lineage: Eukaryota; Metazoa; Bryozoa; Gymnolaemata; Cheilostomatida; Savignyellidae. The record is from RNAcentral.